GCAGUUUAGCGCCAUGAGAGGAGAGAAGUCUGAUGGCUGCUCAUAGGACCUGCAUAUUGUUUCUUCAUAGCAGUCCACAGCUCAGUGAUAUAGACUCACAGGAGGUGGGAGAGUCCAGGGCACUGUAUAGUUGCGAAGAGGAGGAGCGAAGAGGAGGAGGGGAUGAGAAGUACGGCCACGCUGUGCUUGAGAGGCGAGUGAGAGAAGCACAUUAAUCAUCCAGAGACAUCUGUUCAUUCUGCUGCUUUACAGUUCUGUCAAAGCACUCUUGACUAGCCUCCCAAGCACCACUAAAGAAGGAGAAUGUCAGGAGUAGCUCCGGGAGGAGAAAGUAUGGCCCUCUGUUAUGGAAUUCAUGGAACCCAUAAUCUCCUUUCAUGGGGUCACAAAGAGCCAUCA
Electrophorus electricus (electric eel) is the source of this 399-nucleotide long non-coding RNA. RefSeq lists it as uncharacterized. NCBI's taxonomy places the organism in Eukaryota, Metazoa, Chordata, Actinopteri, Gymnotiformes, Gymnotidae. The record is from RefSeq and is a predicted model, not a curated record.